Molecule: long non-coding RNA, 2221 nt
Organism: Felis catus (domestic cat)
Lineage: Eukaryota; Metazoa; Chordata; Mammalia; Carnivora; Felidae
Exons: 2
Source: RefSeq, a predicted model, not a curated record
AUUGCAACGAUUCAUUACAAGGGGUAGAGGCUACCCAACGACAGCCUGGACAUCCUUGCAUUCAGGGCUCAGUGUCAGAGUUUCCUAAACCAAACACGUGCAUGUGCCCGGAACAGUGGAGAGGACUCAAUACGUGCCCUAUAUGAUACACCUCUGUUCCAACUGUUCCAACUCUCCAGCUCAAAGCUUCCUCCCAGACACGUCCGUUUUGGCCUUCCCAGGGCCAGGGGAUACAACGCUGGGCAGCGGCUCAGCAGGCUGCCUGGGCGAUGAUUUGGCAGUGCCCCAGCCAGGUCAGAUGGGCUGAAGGACGGAGAAGGUCCCGGUAGCACUUGGCAUCAGGGACUUAAGGAGCAGGAGGGCAGAGCUCAGGCCAGGAAGAGGCAGAGGGCCAGGGUGGCAAGCACAUGUGGUAAUGAGAUGGUGUGCAGAACACCUAGCAAGAUGCCAGGCAUGCCGUAGGCACAUAAUAAUGACGCUCUCCCUCAUUCCCCCCUACGCAUGGACUAUGCUGCUGAUAACCUAGAGUCUGCAAGAGAAGGACAAUUCUUUCAGGACCCUGGAGAGCUCCCGGGGGCCCCAGGUCAGUUCUGAUUCCGUGUAAGGAACACAGAAAACCGGGGCUCACCAAGGGCUUCCGGAAUGGGAGUCUCACGUUGCCCGGUUACGGCAAAUACUAUCACCAUCGCAGGCUGCAGGAAGACACUCAGGAAGAUGAUGUGACUGUCCACUGAGUGGCUGUGCUGAGCCGAGGGCUGGGAGCACACACGGCUUCGGUUAGAGCCUUACCUCCUGAGGAAGCCCUGCAGCACAGAGGGGAAGUCAUUUGUUUCAAAUUAGAGGAAAUACUGCCAUGUUUUUUAUCGCGCUUCUCUCAAAUUAAGUGCACGUAUUUAUGAUUUUACCACCAUCCUUGGCCCUUUGCUUCAGUUUCUUUAUUAAAAGAAACUCUUCCCUGGCUGUCUUCUUAGCUUGCCCGGAAACUAUCAUCACAGAGACAGAGGUACUUGGGCGAUGUUUCUCUGAAGCCUUUUGCCCUCACUCAGUUUCUCACGCAGGAUUUGUACUUAGUCGACCCUGCCCUAAACAGAGCCACGUACACAGUGAGCUGGUCAUUAGCACAGGGUGUUACUGCGCGGAGAACAUUCCCACACACUUGAGCACAUCCAUUAACAAGGAGAACACGGUGAGCGAGACAAGAGUGAUGAAAACAGCGUGGCCAGCAGUGAAGCAGAAAGUCCACUCUCAGCAGAGGAGAGAGUUGAUUUUGCAUUUUGAUUGGCGAAAUUCACGGAGGGGAAAAAUCCUUUCCAAUAGGAUUCUGGACCAGCCCAGACCUUUCAUAUUCAAAAUUCAACAGGAUAUUUGGUUCUAUAAACAGAACUUUCUUUGACAAAGAAAACCCACUCGGGGUGUCAGCAAGGUGGCGUGGAAGGUACAAGUGACAGACGUGGUUCGCGCCCCCCCCCCCCCAGCUCUGACAUGGACAGGAUCCUACAAGGAGACUGAGCAAGCAGCAAAGAGAAAAGUCAUGUCCUUCAUUUGGGAACCAGACCACAGCUCGGAUGAGGCUUGUAACCGUGCUUUAGCAAAGGGCUCUUGGCUCCUCUUUGCAGACCAGAUGCUUCAGGGACAGUCGACGAUUCUGUGCGGCCAAGGAGGCUGGUGGUCAGAGCACGGAUUCAGCAGUAAGACAGCCCAGAUUCGAGUCCCGGUGUCUCCACGGACGGCUGUGGAACCUCGAGCACGUGACCUACCCUCCCCGUGCCCCGGUGCCCUCCUCCAGGCACAGAGACGCCCGCUGUUCCCUCACUGGCUGCGACGGGCACUGAGCUGGGAUGGGCGUCCGGGGUCCAGGAAGCCCGUGGGGUGACUGUUACUGCUACUGAGGUCAGCCCUCUUGUGUUCUAAUUCUGCUACACCUUCUGUACCUGGUGCAGAAGUCCUAAGACCUUUGUGAGUGCGCCUCCGCCUGGCUUGUUGUGACAGUCACAUGGGGAAGGUCUUCACGAGAAAGUGACACCAUAAUUGGGACUUAGCUGUGGCUUCAGAGGAACCAAGGCCUGAGUUAAGCUCCUGACACAUCUCUCUGUGGCUGCGGUGGGCACUGUCAUCGCCCCCGUAACCAUUCUCUCCUUCUUCAUUAGGAAUUGAACCCUGAUUCUUAGCUGGGCACAUGACCACUCGGAAUAAAUAUGUUUCUCAGACUUCCUUGCAGCCA